This 791-nucleotide ribosomal RNA is filed under the name uncultured bacterium. RNAcentral describes it as "bacterial SSU rRNA". It matches the Rfam family "Bacterial small subunit ribosomal RNA", at positions 8 to 796 of the family's 1533-position model. The record is from RNAcentral.
AGAGUUUGAUCAUGGCUCAGAUUGAACGCUGGCGGCAUGCCUUACACAUGCAAGUCGAACGGCAGCACGGGAGCAAUCCUGGUGGCGAGUGGCGAACGGGUGAGUAAUAUAUCGGAACGUGCCCAGUCGUGGGGGAUAACGCAGCGAAAGCUGUGCUAAUACCGCAUACGAUCUUUGGAUGAAAGCGGGGGACCGUAAGGCCUCGCGCGAUUGGAGCGGCCGAUAUCAGAUUAGCUAGUUGGUGGGGUAAAAGCUUACCAAGGCGACGAUCUGUAGCUGGUCUGAGAGGACGACCAGCCACACUGGAACUGAGACACGGUCCAGACUCCUACGGGAGGCAGCAGUGGGGAAUUUUGGACAAUGGGCGCAAGCCUGAUCCAGCAAUGCCGCGUGCAGGAUGAAGGCCUUCGGGUUGUAAACUGCUUUUGUACGGAACGAAACGGUUCUUUCUAAUAAAGAGGGCUAAUGACGGUACCGUAAGAAUAAGCACCGGCUAACUACGUGCCAGCAGCCGCGGUAAUACGUAGGGUGCGAGCGUUAAUCGGAAUUACUGGGCGUAAAGCGUGCGCAGGCGGUUUUGUAAGACAGAUGUGAAAUCCCCGGGCUCAACCUGGGACCUGCAUUUGUGACUGCAAGGCUAGAGUACGGUAGAGGGGGAUGGAAUUCCGCGUAGCAGUGAAAUGCGUAGAUAUGCGGAGGAACACCGAUGGCGAAGGCAAUCCCCUGGACCUGUACUGACGCUCAUGCACGAAAGCGUGGGGAGCAAACAGGAUUAGAUACCCUAGUAGUCC